GACUUCUUGUUGUUGUU
RNAcentral lists this small RNA (17 nucleotides) under Arabidopsis thaliana (thale cress). Its description in RNAcentral is "ATSL300400". Lineage: Eukaryota; Viridiplantae; Streptophyta; Magnoliopsida; Brassicales; Brassicaceae. The record is from RNAcentral.